GGGUAGCUCAGUGGUAGAGCGCUCGGCUGUAGACCGAGUGGUCGCAGGUUCAAAUCCUGCCCC
This 63-nucleotide transfer RNA is filed under the name Candidatus Bathyarchaeota archaeon. RNAcentral describes it as "tRNA-Tyr". It matches the Rfam family "tRNA", at positions 5 to 66 of the family's 71-position model. Rfam says of the family: Transfer RNA (tRNA) molecules are approximately 80 nucleotides in length. Lineage: Archaea; Thermoproteati; Candidatus Bathyarchaeota. The record is from RNAcentral. RNAcentral also lists the same sequence under 1 other name.